Molecule: ribosomal RNA, 253 nt
Filed under: uncultured bacterium
Lineage: Bacteria
Description: partial 16S ribosomal RNA
Rfam family: Bacterial small subunit ribosomal RNA
Source: RNAcentral
UACGAAGGGGGCUAGCGUUGCUCGGAAUUACUGGGCGUAAAGGGCGCGUAGGCGGAUAUCUAAGUUGGGGGUGAAAUCCCGGGGCUCAACCUCGGAAUUGCCUUCAAAACUGGAUAUCUUGAGUUCGGGAGAGGUGAGUGGAACUCCGAGUGUAGAGGUGAAAUUCGUAGAUAUUCGGAAGAACACCGGUGGCGAAGGCGACUCACUGGCCCGAUACUGACGCUGAGGCGCGAAAGCGUGGGGAGCAAACAGG